ACGAGUCCCAAAUAGGACGAAACGCGCAUCCUGGAU
Molecule: non-coding RNA, 36 nt
Filed under: Trichobilharzia regenti
Lineage: Eukaryota; Metazoa; Platyhelminthes; Trematoda; Strigeidida; Schistosomatidae
Source: RNAcentral